CACCCGUUCCCAUGCCGAACACGGAAGUUAAGCUCUUUAGCGCCGAUGGUAGUUGGGGGUUUCCCCCUGUGAGAGUAGGACGUUGCUAGGC
This 91-nucleotide ribosomal RNA is filed under the name Viridibacillus sp. FSL H8-0123. The record is from RNAcentral. Lineage: Bacteria; Bacillati; Bacillota; Bacilli; Caryophanales; Caryophanaceae.